GACGAACGCUGGCGGCAUGCCUAAUACAUGCAAGUCGAGCGAACAGAUGAAGUGCUUGCACUUCUGACGUUAGCGGCGAACGGGUGAGUAACACGUAAGGAAUCUACCUAUAAGCGGGGGAUAACAUUCGGAAACGGGUGCUAAUACCGCAUAAUAUCUUCUUCCGCAUGGAAGAAGAUUGAAAGACGGCUCUGCUGUCACCUAUAGAUGACCUUGCGGUGCAUUAGUUAGUUGGCGGGGUAAUGGCAUACCAAGACGAUGAUGCAUAGCCGGCCUGGGAGGGUGAGCGGCCACAUUGGGACUGAGCCACGGCCCAAACUCCUACGGGAGGCAGCAGUAGUGAAUCUUCCGCAAUGGGCGAAAGCCUGACGGAGCAAUGCCGCGUGAGUGAAGAAGGCCUUCGGGUCGUAAAACUCUGUUAUAAGAGAAGAACAAAUUGUAGAGUAACUGCUACAGUCUUGACGGUAUCUUAUCAGAAAGCCACGGCUAACUACGUGCCAGCCGCCGCGGUAA
RNAcentral lists this ribosomal RNA (513 nucleotides) under uncultured bacterium. RNAcentral's name for it is "partial 16S ribosomal RNA". It matches the Rfam family "Bacterial small subunit ribosomal RNA", at positions 28 to 523 of the family's 1533-position model. The record is from RNAcentral.